This is a long non-coding RNA of Hordeum vulgare subsp. vulgare (domesticated barley), 907 nucleotides long. RefSeq lists it as uncharacterized. The record is from RefSeq and is a predicted model, not a curated record. The transcript has 3 exons. Lineage: Eukaryota; Viridiplantae; Streptophyta; Magnoliopsida; Poales; Poaceae.
CUUUCUUCACUCCGAGCGCCCCACCCUCCUCUCCCUUCCGCUAUGACCCAUGAGCGCCCGACUCUCUCUCUCUCUCUCUCUCUCCCCUGUUCUUCGUCCGAUGCCCUCCUCGCUCCUGCAUCUUCUCCUUCGUCCAUGUCGACUACCGUCCAUGUCGACAAAUCAACCGCAUCCCGGGACCCUAAUCCUGCGGCCCCUCAUCUCAGAUCUUGAUUCCCCGACCGGCUCGGCGUGCAACUGCUCAUCGAUUCUAUGCUGGCCUUGAGGAUCCACCGCAAGAUCCACACCGUUCUCCCUCCCUCACUUUUGCCUCUAUUUUUUUCUCGGUUGUUUUAGGGUUUGUCCAUGUUUUACGCAGGUAAGAACAAGAGGAGGUGCUGACCUAGAGCCGAUGAAGAAGGAGACCAUCACGAGGGAGUACAUCGUCAUCCUUGACAUGCGCCUCCAUCGAUGACUCGUGUAACCCGUGUCCCGUGCCUGUGGUUGUGUGCUCGGGGCCGACUUGAUGGUCUUCGGAUAGGCAUACGGUUGUGGUGAUGUUACUGGUUGCUGCAGUUGGUGGCUCUAUUGGUCUCCCGGAGCGGCGGUGGAAGCAUCUUCUUCGACUUAGGCGCACUAGCUCCGUUUGUGUGAUGUUAGGUGUUAGGUGACGACGUCCUUCCAUCAUCACCUGCCACUUGGCAACUCAUUUUAUUUUUGUACCAAGUACAUCUACUUCAACUAUACUCUAGCUUUUAUGUACAGAAGAAGUGGAAAAGUGGAAGACAGACGAUGCUAUGGUUUCGCAAUUUGCUGUUACGUGUGAACAAUUUAGUUUUGUGUUCUUUAAUGUGUUCCAUUGAAGCCACAGUGGUUGUAUUGGUCGUACAGUACCGACACUUGUUGGAUUUGUAGUGGAGUUGAAGGC